AAACCGUAGUUACAAAACUGCAUAAAAAAAAUUCUAAAAAAGUCUGAUUAAAAAAUUCGAAAUAUUUCUAAGGCUAGGAUGUAUUCGCUCAAAUUCAAAAUUUUGCCCUAAUUUUAAUGCAGGUAUGAAACUACGAGGUCAGUUCAAUAAGUCUGUUACUCCAUACAUUAUGUCAAGUGUUUUUUUUUUUAAUUUUUUUGCAUUUCUAAUCCAUGCAUUCACGGUGCGAUAAACAAGACAACAGCGACAAAUGAAACGAUCGGCCUCCCUUCAAGAUCUAGUUUUGAACUUUCUAGCAGUAGAUCUGGUAAUACUACUUAGAUUCCUUGCAAGUAGAUUUAAUAGAAUUUUACCGCGAAGAUAUCGUCGGUGUUACUGCAGAAAGUUCUAUGUCAAUUAUUAACUCUGCUGCUUAAAUGAUCUGCCACCUGUAUCUGAUCGCUUCUGUAAAUCAGUAAUCUUCAUUAGUCAAAGCGAGACAGUUUUGUCAUUAGUUUAUGAGAGUGUAACGAUUUUUAGAUGCAUUCCGGUGCGGGUAACAGACCAUCCAUCCAAGUGCCAAGAGUACUAAUUGCAGUGUCACCGACAAUAUGCACUUUCAAGCAAACCGAAUGGAAUGAUUCAACUGCGACUUUUUUACGGUUCAAUGACUUUACCACACCUGACACGUGUUACUCACCAUACACACUCGAACCACACUCGAUAAACUUAUUAAAUACGUUAUACGCACAUGCAUAUGUACAUACUACAUAUGUAUGUAUGUAUGUAAAAAUUCAUAAAUGCAUAAUAAUUUUCUACAUGCGAACUGUGUUUGCUUUUAAUUGUUAAAAACAAAGAU
Molecule: long non-coding RNA, 838 nt
Organism: Rhagoletis zephyria (snowberry fruit fly)
Lineage: Eukaryota; Metazoa; Arthropoda; Insecta; Diptera; Tephritidae
Source: RefSeq, a predicted model, not a curated record